GUGGGGAAUAUUGGACAAUGGGCGAAAGCCUGAUCCAGCCAUGCCGCGUGUGUGAAGAAGGUCUUCGGAUUGUAAAGCACUUUAAGUUGGGAGGAAGGGCAGUAAGCUAAUACCUUGCUGUUUUGACGUUACCGACAGAAUAAGCACCGGCUAACUUCGUGCCAGCAGCCGCGGUAAUACGAAGGGUGCAAGCGUUAAUCGGAAUUACUGGGCGUAAAGCGCGCGUAGGUGGUUCAGCAAGUUGGAGGUGAAAUCCCCGGGCUCAACCUGGGAACUGCCUCCAAAACUACUGAGCUAGAGUACGGUAGAGGGUAGUGGAAUUUCCUGUGUAGCGGUGAAAUGCGUAGAUAUAGGAAGGAACACCAGUGGCGAAGGCGACUACCUGGACUGAUACUGACACUGAGGUGCGAAAGCGUGGGGAGCAAACAGGAUUAGAUACCCUUGUAGUCC
This 450-nucleotide ribosomal RNA is filed under the name uncultured bacterium. RNAcentral's name for it is "partial 16S ribosomal RNA". It matches the Rfam family "Bacterial small subunit ribosomal RNA", at positions 354 to 796 of the family's 1533-position model. The record is from RNAcentral.